AAUUUUUAAUCUUAUAGCGUAUACUAACAUCUCGAGCGACUUGUCGUUUUGUGGCAAGAAAGCCGCUCUUCAUGUAGUGUUGAGAUCUGGGUCUUGCGCAAUGGGACCCGUGAACCUGGUCAGGGUAGGAAUACAGCAGCCAUAAGCGGUCAAUCUCAUGUGCCGCGAGGGUGCCUGGGUGGAGCUAUGUGAGGGUGGCUUUGUUGCCACAAAGAAAAGUC
This 221-nucleotide signal recognition particle RNA is filed under the name Agathobacter sp. Its description in RNAcentral is "signal recognition particle sRNA large type". It matches the Rfam family "Bacterial large signal recognition particle RNA". Rfam says of the family: The signal recognition particle (SRP) is a universally conserved ribonucleoprotein involved in the co-translational targeting of proteins to membranes. Archaeal SRP consists of a 7S RNA and homologues of the eukaryotic SRP19 and SRP54 proteins. The record is from RNAcentral. Lineage: Bacteria; Bacillati; Bacillota; Clostridia; Lachnospirales; Lachnospiraceae.